CAGGAAGAGAGAAAAUCUCUGAAAUUCACUAGCUGUGACAUUCACUAGCUGUGAAAGUCACAGCUGUGAAAGUCCAUCUAAUUAGGCCAAGAAUUGCAGGAGACGAUAAUCAGCCCUGGCUGAGGGAAGUAAGUGCUGGGGCAGGCGGAGAAGACGAGGGGUCCGCGUCCGACUUCAGCUCUCCUCCAGCCGGUCCCACUGUGUGUCUGGUACCUUUCCCAUCUCACGUUCUCGGCUGGAGUCCUGAGACCCGACGCUCACAGAAACUUCUGACAAAAGGCAAGGAGGGUGCUGCUCUGGAGAAGGUGGAAGAUAAGGCUUGUGCUCAGAACUCCCCUCAGCACCCUGGACAUGUCUUGAGUGAUUCCCAUCACUGGCCAAGGCCCACCUCACUCUACCCUCAUGCUCAGACCUGCAGGACCCCAGCCAGGCCCAGAAGGGAAACACAGCUAUCACUCCUGAGCUUGCUGGACAACAUAUUACAUCCACGUGAAAGUAUGUCCUUGGAGACAUCCAAGCUGACUCUGUCUACAAGGACCUAGAAGCAGCCAAAGAUGCUGCGAAGGAGAAAGGCAAAGGAGCCUGCCAGGGCACCCACAGAGGCAUCGGCAGGUGGGACAUCGAAGUCUCAUCAUGGCUGCCCCUUGGCAGUUCUGGAGUUCUGCAGGUGUUGACACCAGGUCCCAGACCCCCAAGAUCCAUUCAUUGGUUCUUUCGGCUAACUCCAAUUUGUGCAUACCAAAUUCCAGAACAAAAAGAGAACUUGGGCCUGGUGUGCGGAAGUGCUUUGCCCAGUCCCCUAGAAACACAAUGUGAACCAGUGCAUGUUGCCAGCCUGAGCUUUUCAGCCUGAACCUCUGGACUUACACAGGCUCCACCCCUUGCCUGUCCAGGCCUCUAGACAUUCAAGGUCUGGCUCUACAAAGCCGCCCCUGACCUCUUUUAACUGAAGCCAAGCACUGUCUUGGGGAAUUUCUUCUAGCCCUUCCCAAAUUCCACCAGGUAUUUAGUUGUCUGGGUACACAUCUUAUCUGUAAACUUCUGAACAACAGAGAUAUCUUGUUCAUCUGUGCUCACUGACCACCCACUGUCCCCGCCCCCAGCUCCUAGCCCUGUACCUUGCAUACAGCAGACAUUAACCAUUUUCUGGAUCAAAAAUCCAAGAUAAUUACCCCCCCGCCAAGUCCUUCUGAUCAGCCACUAAGGGGUCCUGGCAAAUGGUUGAAGGAGAAGAAAACAAGGCGUGUUUCCAUCUCCUUGGCAACCACGUGUAUAGUUUCACAAGAGAAUGCCAUCAGCGAUGAAGUCAGAGGGUCCUCGGAUAUAAGCUCUUCCCCCAUCCUCACUGGACAUUACCUUAAAGUUCCUCUUACACUUUCUUGGUGACACUUCUGUCCCUCACUCCUACCCAUCCAACAAAAACCUUUGGUUGACACGUUAAACACUUUUUCAAAACCCCAGUUUCCUGAACUCGAGGAAAAACAGGCUUCCCCUGCC
Bos taurus (domestic cattle) is the source of this 1497-nucleotide long non-coding RNA. The record is from Ensembl. Lineage: Eukaryota; Metazoa; Chordata; Mammalia; Artiodactyla; Bovidae.